GUGGAGUGGCCAACUGUUGGACUGAAUUUGGACCCAGCACCUGUACCUUUGUUUCGGGUGGGCACAACCCUCUGACCGACCACAACACCUGCCAGUUGAUAAUAGGCGAGCUUAUUGAUACAGAGUGAUAACAAAAAGCAACAAUACAAACAAUCAAACAAUUCUAUAUCUACCAAUUCUAUGGCUGUCAUCAGAGUCAAGGUACAUCUGGCUGGGAUGCAAUCUUUACUUAUGAGGCUCUCUCUUAGGUGUCAUCAGUCUGGAGGUGGGAUUCCAAGGCCCACAGCCCCCCUCCAGUGGGGUACAUGAAAUGGGCUGCUGGUAUGCCCUCUGUCCAUGGUGGCCUUGGGGACCCUCCCCAGGGAAUGGGGACAGGGACCCUCAAGUCUUUGCUUUUGUCUUUUGCAUAACAGCCAUCUACAAAGCUUCAACAGACAGCUGACACUAAGGAUUUUUCAACUGCUUAACCUGUUUCUCUAGAUGUUAAUUAAUAAAUUCCUUUACUUCCUACAACCUUCUAUUCAGAUACCACCUCUGUUUCCACGUGUUAAAGUCCACUUGCCUUAAGUCACACAAUAUAUCUUAAAAUCUGUGGUCACCAACUGCACAACACCUAAAUUUCCCCUUCUAACCCUCAGGGACAGCUACAGCCAAGGAUUAGUGGUAGGAGUGGAGAUCCUAAACUCCCUCCCUAGUUUCUCGGCAAAUCUACAGCCAAGAGACAUCCAUAAACUUGUUUAUAACUCGUUCCUUCUUUCUCCUAACAAAACAUCUCUGAAACUCCUAUUCGGCGAGAAUCUAACUUCUCCUGUAGGCUCUGGGAAUUCUACAACCCUAAGGGUGCACACCAGAGGAACAAUAAACACAGAGCUUCCUCUAUAUCCCCCUUCUGCAUUCUCCACCACUUAAAUCUUAUGCAAAUUGCCAAUUGCUCAAAUCACGAAUGAGGAAUAGACAUGAUGCUGAGUUUACUGAUUAAGCACUUAACACACACAUAUUCAUACCCCAAUUUCUGUUCUGCACUGGUAUACAUUACCAGCCUUAUCAGUAAUUGGAUCAACUUAGUGGCCAGCCAAGUUGAUCACAAGUAGGAGCCGGGCUCCUGCCGGUCCCUCUUGUCAGAUGAACCGAUGCUCCAGGAUGACAUGCAGAACAAGACCCAAAAUCAAUACAUCUCGCCCCAUCUUUUAGAGCCUUGGCCCUUUUAUAGCCCUCCUCCACCCAGUCCUCUGGGCUUUUGCUGUGUUAUCACAGUGUUCUUUCUUGAAGGCUGAUUGUCACAGUUCUCUCACUGUUCUGGGGCAGAUUAUUCUUUUUUGUUCUUUUAGCUGUCUGCAUUCUUCAGCCAGUCGCCAGCUGAUGUUUUCCUUUUCCACAGACACUCUCACCUAUUCUCUCACACAUACAGCAUACAAAGGUCAAACACUUAUGUCAAGUUACAGAGCAAUACAAAAUGGAGUUUCUUAAGGCAAUGCAAAACUCAAGAAAAUCCGAGAGAGAGAGAUCCUGAUCCUGAUCCUGAUCCGCAACCCCGGAGGAUUCCGGGAUCGCAAUCCGCCCCAACAGGAUGGCAACAAACUAAGCUGGGUCUACCAUUCAAUACAGAGGGAGCACUAGAAGCAGCUCCCAGUCCAGGACCAGAGGAGGCGCAGAGAACAUGCCCCGCUAAUGAAUCAAUUAGCAGAGAAGGCUCAGUUCAUACACAGUAGCCUAAAAUAUCCGGGAUAUUCGGGAUCCCUUAUCAGCUAUGUCAAUGUUCCCUUGCUAAUGAGGUAAUUAGCGAGGCAAGUGCAACUCUGUAACCUCCUGCUAAGGGAUAAAACUUGCACUACAUGAGCUCAUCACCUGGGUGGUAUGUGGUGUUUUCUCACUCCAAAACUAACACUGAACUUAUCUUCUUUUUGAUCCAAGUCAUGGCAGAAGAAUUUAGAGGGAGACCAAGCUAGACCCAUCUCCCCCUCUCACACUUACAAAGUAUCUGCAUAAUUUUGAGUUUCUGCAUAUAAUUUUGAGUUUUUAACCAUGUGAUUAAAAACAUGAUUAAUUGUGACUAUUUUUUUUUAAUCGCACAACUAGUUGCAGUUAAAUCUUUUAAUCAUUUGACAGCCCUAAGACCCACUACCCAAUCUUUGAGUCUUCUCCUCUGGGGCAGAGAGCAGCUUACACUUGUACAGAUUAAGUGGUCCUGCUAACUUCACCCCUCAAUUAGCUAAACCAGCCCCACCCAGAGCAAGCCCUGUUGUUCAGUUUAACAGGGAGCCUCAGGCUCCUUUUACUUUAAAGAGAGAAAUGGCAGAGAUAGGAACAUAGAGAGCUGGCAGAAAUGGCACAGAGAUAGGAACCUAGACAGCUGAGCAGGGCUAGCCACAAGAAGGAAGGCAGCAAAUAAACACUGCUGUCUAGGUAGGGUGAUGCCCUUUAGAGGCCUGCAGGGAGCUGGCUGCAAGGGAAAUAGGCCAGUAGGGCAGAACCUAGUUUGUGCAGCAGGGAAGCUUCUCCAGCAGCAGCCAUAAGCUGCCAUAGCAACCAGCCUUCAGGCCCUAAUGAGAAAUCCAAGCUCAGCUGGAGCACUGCCUGAUAGGAAGGGGCAGGACAUAGGCAGCAUAUAAAUCAGAUCACGCUGGUUGGCUCAGCAUAUUGCAGAGUAAAAAACUCCUGGCUGUAGGGAGAAGCUUUGUUGAUUUCUGGAAUUCCCCCUAAGGAUGCAAGAGAAAAUCACUGUCUUCAGUCAAGAAGUGAAGAAAAGAACUAUAAAAUUUCUCCUCAAAACUGACAUGGAACUUUAUUUCCAAGGUGGACACAGAAAAAGCAUAUCUAUAAGAAGAGAAUUUCUUCCUUCAUUUUCAUCCUCCAGCGCUUACUACGGUUUUAGGAAAUAUUCUUUUUCUGCCUGGAUAAAUAUUUUUGUCUGUAUUAAAAUGCAGUUUAUCAGUAACUCUUUAUCUGCUUGGCACUGAAGACUCUCUCUUCCAAGAUGUACAACUGUUACACUAUUACUUGUGACUUUAAAAUGUGGCAUUGCUUACACAGGAAAACAUUAAUAGACCUUUUUUCAGAUUUUAGUUUGAAAAGAACUUUGUUUAAUCUCUUCAAAACAUGAUCAUGGUAUCUGCACCUGAGGGGCUCACAUAGGGGCCAAUUUUGACAUUCUUACUCUUCUUUAGAAGUACCACAUUCCAUAAAUAGUCCCAUCUACUUCCACAACUGCUAGAUAAGAUAUUCUUCAAUGGGUGAUAUGGCAUAGUCAGGCUUUUACUUUUUUAAGACUGCAAAGUGAAGUUUACUCUAUCAGCAUACAUGCAAUGAUAUGCACUGGGUGCAAGAGAGGGCUAUAAACCUCAAUUUAUGCUCAAUUUUAAUGAUGAUAACAACAGUCAAAGAAUUCCAAGUAUCUGGUUUAUCACAUUUUACAACUCAACUCAUUUUUUGUUCCUCUUCCCCCCCCCCCACCUUCACUCAUACCUAGAGUUUCAAAAAGUCUCUAAACUCAGAAUUGUUACUAUCUUUGUGACUGUGGCAAAACCAUCCUUUUCAAAUAUACAUUUUAAGUAAUGGUGGUGUUUAACUUGAAUUCAGACUACUGGUUUUACUAUACUUGUUCGUCAUCUCUGACGCUUGAAAGCUGCACAACUCAAAGAUAGGUAAUUAAUCUAAUCACCACUGAAAUAAAUCAUUUUCAAACAUAUACUGUCCAAGCAGAGGAGAUGAAAAGAUAUUUAUAAUUAGCAACAGAGACAAUUACUACUUUGUUCCCACUGUGAAUAGUUACAAGAAAGAGAAAAACUGAAUGGUGUGUCCAACUACUAUUGUUUAGAGUUGCUCCUUCCUUGUUAAAAAUGUUAAAUGUACUUCUACAAUAACAAUGAGUAAUAUUCUUCUCUUGUUGGGCCAUCGAAUUUUGCACUCAGCUACCACAUAAUAAAUUCAUAAUAGCUCCAUUUA
This is a long non-coding RNA of Alligator sinensis (Chinese alligator), 3942 nucleotides long. RefSeq lists it as uncharacterized. The record is from RefSeq and is a predicted model, not a curated record. Lineage: Eukaryota; Metazoa; Chordata; Crocodylia; Alligatoridae. The transcript has 3 exons.